This 1016-nucleotide ribosomal RNA is filed under the name uncultured bacterium. Its description in RNAcentral is "bacterial SSU rRNA". It matches the Rfam family "Bacterial small subunit ribosomal RNA", at positions 357 to 1376 of the family's 1533-position model. The record is from RNAcentral.
AGGAAUAUUGGUCAAUGGGCGAGAGCCUGAACCAGCCAAGUAGCGUGAAGGAUGAAGGUCCUACGGAUUGUAAACUUCUUUUAUACGGGAAUAAAGUGAGGCACGUGUGCCUUUUUGUAUGUACCGUAUGAAUAAGGAUCGGCUAACUCCGUGCCAGCAGCCGCGGUAAUACGGAGGAUCCGAGCGUUAUCCGGAUUUAUUGGGUUUAAAGGGAGCGUAGGCGGACGCUUAAGUCAGUUGUGAAAGUUUGCGGCUCAACCGUAAAAUUGCAGUUGAUACUGGGUGUCUUGAGUACAGUAGAGGCAGGCGGAAUUCGUGGUGUAGCGGUGAAAUGCUUAGAUAUCACGAAGAACUCCGAUUGCGAAGGCAGCUUGCUGGACUGUAACUGACGCUGAUGCUCGAAAGUGUGGGUAUCAAACAGGAUUAGAUACCCUGGUAGUCCACACGGUAAACGAUGAAUACUCGCUGUUUGCGAUAUACAGUAAGCGGCCAAGCGAAAGCGUUAAGUAUUCCACCUGGGGAGUACGCCGGCAACGGUGAAACUCAAAGGAAUUGACGGGGGCCCGCACAAGCGGAGGAACAUGUGGUUUAAUUCGAUGAUACGCGAGGAACCUUACCCGGGCUUGAAUUGCAACUGAAUGAUGUGGAGACAUGUCAGCCGCAAGGCAGUUGUGAAGGUGCUGCAUGGUUGUCGUCAGCUCGUGCCGUGAGGUGUCGGCUUAAGUGCCAUAACGAGCGCAACCCUUAUCGAUAGUUACCAUCAGGUUAUGCUGGGGACUCUGUCGAGACUGCCGUCGUAAGAUGUGAGGAAGGUGGGGAUGACGUCAAAUCAGCACGGCCCUUACGUCCGGGGCUACACACGUGUUACAAUGGGGGGUACAGAAGGCAGCUACACGGCGACGUGAUGCUAAUCCCUAAAGCCUCUCUCAGUUCGGAUUGGAGUCUGCAACCCGACUCCAUGAAGCUGGAUUCGCUAGUAAUCGCGCAUCAGCCACGGCGCGGUGAAUACGUUCCCG